RNAcentral lists this ribosomal RNA (202 nucleotides) under uncultured bacterium. RNAcentral's name for it is "partial 16S ribosomal RNA". It matches the Rfam family "Bacterial small subunit ribosomal RNA", at positions 1298 to 1500 of the family's 1533-position model. The record is from RNAcentral.
CUGCAGUCUGCAACUCGACUGCACGAAGUCGGAAUUGCUAGUAAUCGCGGAUCAGCAUGCCGCGGUGAAUACGUUCCCGGGCCUUGUACACACCGCCCGUCACACCAUGAGAGUCGGGAACACCCGAAGUCGGUAGUCUAACCUCGUGAGGACGCCGCCGAAGGUGGGCUUGAUAAUUGGGGUGAAGUCGUAACAAGGUAAC